ACGGAAGGCAGCAGUGGGGAAUAUUGCGCAAUGGGCGGAAGCCUGACGCAGCGACGCCGCGUGAGGGAUGACGGCCUUCGGGUUGUAAACCUCUUUCAGCAGGGACGAAGCUAACGUGACGGUACCUGCAGAAGAAGCGCCGGCUAACUACGUGCCAGCAGCCGCGGUAAUACGUAGGGCGCAAGCGUUGUCCGGAAUUAUUGGGCGUAAAGAGCUCGUAGGCGGUCUGUUGCGUCCGUCGUGAAAGCCCACAGCUUAACUGUGGGUCUGCGGUGGAUACGGGCAGACUAGAGGCAGGUAGGGGAGAAUGGAAUUCCCGGUGUAGCGGUGAAAUGCGCAGAUAUCGGGAGGAACACCGGUGGCGAAGGCGGUUCUCUGGGCCUGUACUGACGCUGAGGAGCGAAAGCGUGGGGAGCGAACAGGAUUAGAUACCCUGGUA
Molecule: ribosomal RNA, 439 nt
Filed under: uncultured Actinomadura sp.
Lineage: Bacteria; Bacillati; Actinomycetota; Actinomycetes; Streptosporangiales; Thermomonosporaceae
Description: bacterial SSU rRNA
Rfam family: Bacterial small subunit ribosomal RNA
Source: RNAcentral